GACCCCAUGCCGAACUCAGAAGUGAAACGCCGUAGCGCCGAUGGUAGUGUGGGGUCUCCCCAUGCGAGAGUAGGGAACUGCCAGGCA
This 87-nucleotide ribosomal RNA is filed under the name Escherichia coli M919. The record is from RNAcentral. Lineage: Bacteria; Pseudomonadati; Pseudomonadota; Gammaproteobacteria; Enterobacterales; Enterobacteriaceae. RNAcentral also lists the same sequence under 3 other names.